UACGUAGGGUGCGAGCGUUGUCCGGAAUUAUUGGGCGUAAAGAGCUCGUAGGCGGUCUGUCGCGUCGGAUGUGAAAGCCCGGGGCUUAACUCCGGGUCUGCAUUCGAUACGGGCAAACUAGAGUAUUGCAGGGGAGACUGGAAUUCCUGGUGUAGCGGUGAAAUGCGCAGAUAUCAGGAGGAACACCGGUGGCGAAGGCGGGUCUCUGGGCAAAAACUGACGCUGAGGAGCGAAAGCGUGGGGAGCGAACAGG
Molecule: ribosomal RNA, 253 nt
Filed under: uncultured bacterium
Lineage: Bacteria
Description: partial 16S ribosomal RNA
Rfam family: Bacterial small subunit ribosomal RNA
Source: RNAcentral